ACGAGUUAGGGUCUACUUAGGCCCGACCUCCCAACCCUUUGUUUAUUGAACCUUUUGUGUUGCUUCGGCGGGCCCGUCCCUCCCGGGACCGCCGGCGGACCACCGUAGAGGUGUGUCUUCCGGCCCGCGCCCGCCGACAGCCCAACCCCAAAACUCUUGAAUGAAUCGUGUCUUGAAUUGUCUGAGUACAUUUUUUAAAUAAAGCAA
This 207-nucleotide unclassified non-coding RNA is filed under the name uncultured Ascomycota. RNAcentral describes it as "sequence contains ITS1". Lineage: Eukaryota; Fungi; Ascomycota. The record is from RNAcentral.